This 627-nucleotide ribosomal RNA is filed under the name Rhizopus arrhizus. Its description in RNAcentral is "eukaryotic LSU rRNA". The stretch from base 224 to 377 matches the Rfam family "5.8S ribosomal RNA". The record is from RNAcentral. Lineage: Eukaryota; Fungi; Mucoromycota; Mucoromycetes; Mucorales; Rhizopodaceae.
UCCGUAGGUGAACCUGCGGAAGGAUCAUUAAUUAUGUUAAAGCGCCUUACCUUAGGGUUUCCUCUGGGGUAAGUGAUUGCUUCUACACUGUGAAAAUUUGGCUGAGAGACUCAGACUGGUCAUGGGUAGACCUAUCUGGGGUUUGAUCGAUGCCACUCCUGGUUUCAGGAGCACCCUUCAUAAUAAACCUAGAAAUUCAGUAUUAUAAAGUUUAAUAAAAAACAACUUUUAACAAUGGAUCUCUUGGUUCUCGCAUCGAUGAAGAACGUAGCAAAGUGCGAUAACUAGUGUGAAUUGCAUAUUCAGUGAAUCAUCGAGUCUUUGAACGCAGCUUGCACUCUAUGGUUUUUCUAUAGAGUACGCCUGCUUCAGUAUCAUCACAAACCCACACAUAACAUUUGUUUAUGUGGUGAUGGGUCGCAUCGCUGUUUUAUUACAGUGAGCACCUAAAAUGUGUGUGAUUUUCUGUCUGGCUUGCUAGGCAGGAAUAUUACGCUGGUCUCAGGAUCUUUUUUUUUGGUUCGCCCAGGAAGUAAAGUACAAGAGUAUAAUCCAGCAACUUUCAAACUAUGAUCUGAAGUCAGGUGGGAUUACCCGCUGAACUUAAGCAUAUCAAUAAGCGGAGGA